ACCUUUGCUCUGCUCUUGCCACACUGCAGCACCUAGCCCUGGGCAUGACUGAAGCUGGGAACCAAAAGCUGGCCAGCACAGAGCCCAAAAUACCCAACGACAUCCAUGACACAAUCUCAGAAGAGCCUGUACCAUCUUAUAAAUUGUCUGUGCAGUGGGAUCUGUCAGGAGGAAGCACAGCCUGCCUCCAUGGAGACGACAAAGUUUGGGACUGAAGCAGUGAGAGGCACAGGAUCAUCAUGGAGCAGUGCUGUGAGCUUUGAUAAUAAACUGACCCUGCAGAAGAGAGAAGAAGGAAGGAGAGGGUUCCUGCUGCCCUGGGCAUGGUGCAGGUAGCCCAGGGCAACUAUCACUAAGAGACAUCAAUGUUUUUUCCAUCUGAGUGCUAAGCUUUAUAAACACAAUAAAGUAUCAUGCAGAGGACUGCUUA
This is a long non-coding RNA of Pipra filicauda (Wire-tailed manakin), 430 nucleotides long. RefSeq lists it as uncharacterized. The record is from RefSeq and is a predicted model, not a curated record. NCBI's taxonomy places the organism in Eukaryota, Metazoa, Chordata, Aves, Passeriformes, Pipridae. The transcript has 2 exons.